This 101-nucleotide ribosomal RNA is filed under the name Escherichia coli. RNAcentral describes it as "partial 16S ribosomal RNA". It matches the Rfam family "Bacterial small subunit ribosomal RNA", at positions 1 to 101 of the family's 1533-position model. Lineage: Bacteria; Pseudomonadati; Pseudomonadota; Gammaproteobacteria; Enterobacterales; Enterobacteriaceae. The record is from RNAcentral.
AAAUUGAAGAGUUUGAUCAUGGCUCAGAUUGAACGCUGGCGGCAGGCCUAACACAUGCAAGUCGAACGGUAACAGGAAACAGCUUGCUGUUUCGCUGACGA